RNAcentral lists this long non-coding RNA (3975 nucleotides) under Heterocephalus glaber (naked mole-rat). Its description in RNAcentral is "lncRNA (ENSHGLG00100041354.1)". The record is from RNAcentral. Lineage: Eukaryota; Metazoa; Chordata; Mammalia; Rodentia; Bathyergidae.
AGGCGGGAGGAGGCGGGCGGAGGAGGCCGAAGGGCUGGAGGAGGGGGCCACAGCCGCGGACUUUCUCCCUCCCCCUCGUGCGUCGGCGGGAUUGUUGGGGCGCUGGGUCCCGGCCCCCGGAUUGUGAUGUUUCAGGUGGCGGUGGGCCGGGGGACGCAGCCCGGGCCCCAGGACCUGGUCCCCAGGUCUGGUCCUGCCCCCAGCACCUCGCUCCCGUCGCGGUAUGGACCCCGCCCCCCCAUCCGCGGGUCCCCUAGGACCCCGUGGAAAGCAGCUCUUCGCGGAGGGACAGUGCCCAAGCCCUGCCCUGACCCCUGGAGGCCUGGGACACUGGCAGUGGCCUGGGUGGGGGCAAACUCAAGUGGUUGGAGAUGGGUUGGGGGCUCCUAAGUGGGGGCCUCGUGGAGAAGGAAUGGCCUUUUUCCUUGUUCUGGAUGGUGGAAGCCAUUUCCGGCCCCAGUUGUGACCCCAGGUUCUGAGAGGGGAGCAGGGCUGCCUCUUCCUCCUGCAGCCAGGCAUCAUCCUUAAUUUGCCCCAUCUGCUAGCCACCUCCCUGUUUUUAGACUCCAGUCUAUUUUCUGUAAUUGCUGUGGGCCAAAGUUGCACAGAAAAUCAUUCUCUUCACGAAGCUAAGAGCAGAGACAGCUUCCUGUCCAUCAGGAAGUGGGAGGCAGAGAGCCUGGCUGAGACCUUGUGCUGUGGGCUUGAGCCACUGGACAGGCCACUCUGUGUGACACCAUGAUGACUGACAGAGCCUCCUGGGGUGGAGGCCACAUCGCACAGGCAGUGGCAGCUCCUGGGCUGGGAGGAUGACCAUCGCCACUGAUUGAGCACCAAGUGUGUGCCAGGUGCGGUCUGGAAAGAAUUUCAGGUGGUUUUCAGAGGAGCAUGGAGGCCAGCCCUGAUCACGAGGGUGGACCCCAACAUGGAUUCACUGAACUCUGGGGCACAGAGGCUCCCAUCAGCCCUGGCUCCCACUUGAUUCAGUAACAGCUGCUGCAGGUCCUGGCCACGCAGUGCUACAGUUUGGAUGUGUUUAGACCCCAAGCGUUCACGUAUUGGAAGUUGGGUCCCCCAAGUGGCAACUGGGGAGACUGUGGGACCCCUGAAAGGUGUUUGGGACAUCUUGGGUCUGCUGGGGAUGUUCCCCUUGGAAGAGAGUAAAGUCGUUUUCAGAGGUCUCUGGUUGUCCUUGGAAGAGUGGAUUGGUAUAUAAAGAUCAAACCUCACUGCUUCUGCUUUCUGGGUUCCUGGCUCCCACGAGAUGUGUCUCAUCCCACGUGUCCCCACUAGGAUGCCAGCCACUGUGAAUGUAGUGUGGCCAGGGGGGCCUUUGCCAGAGCUGGUGCUGUGCUGUUUGGACUUUAAACCUCAAAAACUGUGAGCUAAAUAAGCCUCUUUUCUUUACAAGUUACCCAGCUUCUGAUGCUUACUUAUAGUAACAGAAAGUAGACUAAUACAUCAGGUCACCUCCAGGUUUUUGCUUGAUGUGUUCCCCUUGAAUGCUAUGCCCUGAUUCCUCCUCUCACCUUUGCCUAGUUUAUUCCUUCUCUAUCACAACCACCUCAGGAGAACUUCUCAGACACCCCGGGCCAGCCGAAUGCCUCCCGGUACCACUUCCAUGGUGUUAGAUACAAUCUCACCCUGGGGCCCCGUGUCCGCAUUGCACAUUGUGCAUACUUGAUGGUUCCUCCAUAAACGGAGAAGGCUGUGAAAACAAGGCUGUGUCUUUCACACGUCUCCAUUUGUGUACUUGGUGUACUAGCCUGGCACAUAGACGCCUCCAUGAUGAACAAAUGCAUGAAUGAAUGACUCUAAUUCUAGGCCUGAACUUAGGAAGUGGGGGCCAAAUGAGCACCAGUUGAUCCUCAUGUCCUAGGGCCAAGUAAACUGGGAAGUGGUCAAGCCAUGUUUGCAGUGGGAAGGCAAAUGCCAACCCCCAUGUCCCCUUCCUGGUGUGCACAGCCUGCGAGGGAGGGGUGUCUGACUCCAAGGGACUCGGGAAUUUGGCCUCUUUGUGGACUAACAGUGCUCUUCUUUUACGUUUUUUUUGGGGAAGGAAAAGUACGCUGCCCGAAUCCUUGGCUUCAUGGCGGUUUCCAGACACCAUGCUUACAAAGUUGCUGGGUUCUUCUAGAAUCCUUGACCUUGUUUAAAUCUGAUUUCGGCUGAGGGAGGGACUUGGAGUCAGAGACAGGACGGAACCUCUUUGAAACUCCUGGCCCCAGGGCUCUUCUGCCUUUGUGUACAGGACUGAGUUUGGGCAGGAAGCCCGGAUAGAGGUUUACAUCUCUGCCCCCAGACCACUGUAGGAACUAAUAGAAACUACAGAAGCGAACCCCAGAGUUCCCUCCCGGUGUCUGUCUGGACAGAAGUGUGAUGGGCUGAGACAGAGGCGUUGCCUCUCCACGCAGCCGUAACCCCAAGGCCAGGCAGGCAGGGGUCAGAUCUGCCAAGUCAGCUGUCCAGGAUGGGAGCGUAAGGCCACCUGGCUUUGCCCUGAAGUUCUCACUACCGACUCUGCGCCCAGACUGGUGCUUAGCUGUGGAAUUAGUCAUAUUAGGCACGUGUAGGUGACAUUUUUCAAGUAUUAUUUCAUUAAAAUAAUAACUCAUCACCAUGUAAACAUCUUUAGGAAUUUCAAAUGAUGCCCAAUUAAGAAAUUGUAAUGGGGGGCCAGGGAUUUAACUCCAUGGCACCACACCUGCCUUGCAAGUGCAAGGUCCUCAGUUCAAUCCCCAGUACCGAAAAAAAAAAAGAAGUUAUAAUGGGGGCCAGUAUGGUAUGCACACCUGAUAUCCUAGCACUUGGGAGGCAGGAGGAUUGUGCUGAGUUCAAGGCCAGCCUGGGCUACAUAGUGAGUUCAUAGCUAGCCUGAACUACAUAGUGAGACCCUGUCUAAAAAAGGUUAUAUUGGAUCCUAGCUAGGUUGACCAAUAAUCAUUCUUCAAGAACAUCUGGGUAGAGCACUCUACAUUAUGAUGUCACUAGGCUGCACUAUGACAUAAAGACUCCUCAUUUAUUCAUUCAGCAAACAUCAGUUGACUAUCCAUUCAUGGCCUGACUAUGCUCCAGUGUGGCCUGGUUCCCAACAGGACUGGAACAGGGCUCUACCAUUGUCCUUUAGUCCUGGUGUGGAAAGGUUUGGGCAACAUGAGGCCGGCUGUCGGGAGCUGUGCAGGGCUCAGUGACAGGAGAGUGGUACAAUGCAGCCUGUACCUGUCAGCCCGGAAGUGCAGGAGCCAGGCAGGCUAAGGAAUUCUGCAGCACUCUGCACACCUCCGCUUCCAGUACACACUUCCAUGUGCCACCCACUCACCUUUCUCUUACUGUUACAGAUACCUGAGAUACUCAGCUUAGAGAGAAGGAAAGCUUAUUUUGGACCCCGUGGGCCAUGAGAAUGGUAGAUGCUGAGACACAAGACUCCAAGAGCCAGCACAAGGAUGGAGGCUUGUGACACAGCGCGGUGGACAGGAGUGGAGGGGCCAGUCCUGCUUUGGCUCCUUUGAGCCGUGCGGCCUCAGCUGUAUUCCUAACCUCAUUGCUGCCAUGGUACAGUGGGGUCUCCAGACUCCACCUGGUUGGAUUGUGUGAGGACAGAGACCAGCAUAUGGAGAACCCAGGCUUUGGCCAAAGCCAGAUCAUUUCCACAGCACGAGAUGAACCACAUUUGGAAGAAGAACUGCUCCUGAACUUGGAGAACUAAAAACAAAACAAAAAAAUUUCUAAGAGUCUUAAAGGCACAGCAAGUUUGUAAAUUGGGUGACACCUCCGCCCUCAAGGAAGCCACAGUUAUUCAUGAGUAGCAGACCUCGACUUCAGCACACAUGGAAAUGGUUUGCAUGCCGACAUCGCCGGCCAGGUGGGUGACACCAGAUGGUCACCGUGACCAACAGCAGGAGCACACAGCCUGGAUCACCCAUCUUGAAGACACCCCAGGAACCCAUAAAUAAACCAGCUUUGGAUCAUAAGGUC